Molecule: long non-coding RNA, 1045 nt
Organism: Scylla paramamosain (green mud crab)
Lineage: Eukaryota; Metazoa; Arthropoda; Malacostraca; Decapoda; Portunidae
Exons: 2
Source: RefSeq, a predicted model, not a curated record
UUUUUUUUAUGCCAGGCUUUCAAAGACUUGUUUUGAGUAUAUUUUUAUUGAAUGUGACGAACAUAACCACAAUGUGGAAGUGACAGAUUUGGAAGGCGACUCCUAAUCCUAUUUCCUAUAGAUUAUAUAAAUGCAGGUUUUUUUCAAUUAAGAUAUCUUGAGAAAAACUUGAAAGCUGCAGUUACCUCUGGAGAUAAGAUGAAUUUGAGGGGAAAUCGAUAAAAUGGAGCAGAUGAAAUGUCUAAGAUUAGCUUAAGAAAAACUUGCAGCAGUUAUUUUUGGCGAUUAGAUGAAUUUGAGGGUAAAUCGAUAAAAUGGAGCAGAUGAAAUGACUAAGAUUAGAUGCAUUUUAGGAAAAAUUGAUAAAAAGGAAUAGAUUACAUGACUAAGGAGAAAUGGAUGAUUAGUUUCUACUUUCUACUUCCAACCAGUUUUAUUCAACCUGGAUUACCCUACCAACUUCUUGAAUUCUUCUACACACUCGGCAACCUCUGAGAGGGUGUUGUUCAUGUCCAUAUUCUUCUCCUCCACCUGCAAAUAAAUAUACAAUAUAAAGAAAAGUGCAAUAAAAAAUAAACAAAUGCAAGGUUAUGUAGAAAUUUUUACACUAAACUAUGCUUGAUGUCCACAACGUAAAGAUGAAAAAAUUCUUUCAAAUGUCACUUGACUGAAGUUAUAAGUAUAUAUGUAUUGUAGAGAGCACUUACUGCAUUCAGCAUUAUCUUGUAGUUUUCUUUCACCAUGGCAUUUAUGUUGCUGAUUUUUUCCUUGGAGUGUUUUAUUUGCAUUUCCAGUUCAGCAAUAGUGUCUAUCCCGUCACUGUAUGCAAUGUCAUCUUCAGUAAGUUUCCGGUGCAAAUCUUCCAGCACCCUGAAACAUGUACAACUUUCUAACCAUAUUUCUCUAACCUUACGAAAGAAAUCAAUUGUACAACAUACAGCCAAAGGGGGAAGAGUGGUGUGCCUUGUCUUGGCUCCUCUUACAGCCUUGGUACAUGUAUAAUGUUUGACAAGACAUUAUUGUAUAUAAAAUGUACCCAGAAUGA